Non-coding RNA from Arvicanthis niloticus (Nile rat), 1123 nucleotides. The record is from RefSeq and is a predicted model, not a curated record. NCBI's taxonomy places the organism in Eukaryota, Metazoa, Chordata, Mammalia, Rodentia, Muridae.
GGAAAAUCCGCAUUGAAGAACAGAGCAUUUAGCUCUUCUGUCAGAAUGAAUGGGAACCAGAAAUUGGAUGCUUAUAACCAAGAAAAGCAGAAUUUCAUCCAGCACUUCUCCCAGAUCGUCAAGGUGCUGACUGAGGAUGAACUGGGACACUCAGAGACAGGGGAUGCUAUUACCCAGCUCACAGAAGUCCUAGAGUACAAUGCCAUAGAAGGCAAGUACAACUGGGGUUUGACUGUGGUACAAGCCUUCCAGGAGCUGGUAGAGCCAAGGAAACAGGAUGCUGAGAGUCUUCGGCGGGGCCUGACUGUGGGCUGAUGUGUGGAACUGCUCCAGGCUUUCUUCCUCGUGUCAGAUGACAUCAUGGACACUCACUUCCCCGAGGCAGAUCUGCUGGUCUUAGAAGCCAGGCAUAGGCUUGGAUGCCAUCAACAAUGCUCUGCUUUUAGAAGCCUCCAUCUACCACAGGGAGCAACCCUACUACCUGAACCUGUUGGAGCUCUUCCUGCAGAGUUCUUAUCAGACAGAGACUGGGAAGACUCUAGACCUCAUCACGGCACCCCAAGGCUAUGUGGAUCUUGGUAGAUACACUGAAAAGAGGUACAAAUCUAUUGUCAAGUACAAGACAGCUUUCUACUCUUUCUACCUGCCUGUCGCGGAUGCCAUGUACAUGGCAGGCACUGAUGGGGAGAAGGAACAUACCAAUGCCCUGAAGAUCCUGCUGGAGAUGGGCGAGUUCUUUCAGGUCCAGGAUGACUACCUUGAUCUCUUUGGAGACCCCAGUGUGACUGGAAAGGUUGGCACUGACAUCCAGGACAACAAAUGCAGCUGGCUGGUGGUUCAAUGUCAUGUCUGCUACGAGCCAUUCUUCAACAGCGCCAGAUCUUAUUAGAGGAGAAUUAUGGGCAGAAGGACCCAGAAAAAGUGGCGCAGGUGAAAGCACCAUCUGAGGCACUGGAUCUGCAGUCUGUGGUCUUCAAGUACGAGGAAGACAGUUACAACCUCUUCCUUGAGAGUCUUGUAGAGCAGAGCCCCACCCCCAACCAUCUCCCUGGAACUAGAGAACAAGAUCUACAAGCAAAGUGACCUCAGAAUUGUAGAGGCUGGGAGGGAGGGAUCUCAAUAA